This 22-nucleotide microRNA is filed under the name Scyliorhinus torazame (cloudy catshark). RNAcentral's name for it is "Sto-Mir-194-P4_3p* (star (passenger))". The record is from RNAcentral. Lineage: Eukaryota; Metazoa; Chordata; Chondrichthyes; Carcharhiniformes; Scyliorhinidae.
CCACUGGAGGUGCUGUUAUCUC